GGCAUGAGCAAUGGAUGGGAAUCAGGCAAGGGACCUGAGGUAGAGACAGAGGCCAGACGACAAGGGGAUUCAUCGCUCCUGGGGAUGGCUGUCUCUAGCUGCCUGCCCUUCAUGCCAUGAGCCUGGUUGGUACUCAGGAUUGAAUGACGUGCUUCCAAUGUACUGAAGCUUCUGUGUUUGCUCCCUGGCUUGGCCAAUGUGGACUUCUGUGUCUUGUACCACUUGUGGCAUGGGAACUGCCAUAAUUACGUAUGAUUUGCAGAUAGAGAAACUGAAGAACAGAGGUUAAAUUACUUCCUGGAGAUUAUACAGCGAAUAAGUAGAGGAUUCCAGACUUGAAUCACCAGCCUUCUUCUCAAAGUUCCUGCUUCGGCCUAUACUGUGCAGCCUGGAAUUGUUUUGUAAAACUGUGUUCUCUCUGGCUAACAGCCAAAUCUGAAAGUGAGUGGGCUGGUCUAGAGGGUAACAAUGUACAAACCAAUUCUUUGAUGUAUGCCAAAAAAGUUUAAUGUUUUGCAAGUACACAAUAGUUGAGAACCUAUAAUUUGGAACAUCCCAUUGCUCUUAUCCAGAAGGCAAGAGGUCCGCCAGCUCCUUCCUCCUACCUAGGGAUGCAAGAAUUAGAUCCUAGAACGGGGAGUCUGAGAACAGCAGAUCUGUGAACUUGACUGAGAGCCCCCAAAGGAGUUCAAGAAGCCUUCAAGUUUGUGUGGAAAUUUGUUGCCUCUACCAGAAGACUGCAGAUACCCAGCAGUGAGGCAGGAGAGAAACUGGAGUCCGGUUACCUGAAUUCAAGACUUGCCUUUUCCACUCAUUAGUUAGAUGGCUUUGGGAAAGUUCCUUAUUAUGUAACCUCUUCAUUUCUCACUUAUAAAAUGGGAUAGUAAUGGUGCUUGCUUUUGAGAGUCCUUGCAAGUUUCUGGAUAAUGCAUUCUCAUAAUAAGCACUCAAUAGGUGGGUGCUUUUGUUUGUAAUAUACUACUAGCAGCCCAGAAAUCACUUCCUUCCCCACAAAUUUGCCUUUUUUUCUUAAUGUCCUCUUAUCAUCUAUAUAGAUUAUUAAUCUAGCAAAGACAAGAUAUUUAUUUAGCAGUAUGAGC
This 1100-nucleotide long non-coding RNA is filed under the name Heterocephalus glaber (naked mole-rat). RNAcentral's name for it is "lncRNA (ENSHGLG00000038067.1)". Lineage: Eukaryota; Metazoa; Chordata; Mammalia; Rodentia; Bathyergidae. The record is from RNAcentral.